CCUACGGGUGGCAGCAGUCGAGAAUCAUUCACAAUGGGGGAAACCCUGAUGGUGCGACGCCGCGUGGGGGAAUGAAGGUCUUCGGAUUGUAAACCCCUGUCAUGUGGGAGCAAAUUAAAAAGAUAGUACCACAAGAGGAAGGGACGGCUAACUCUGUGCCAGCAGCCGCGGUAAUACAGAGGUCUCAAGCGUUGUUCGGAAUCACUGGGCGUAAGGCGUGCGUAGGCUGUUUCGUAAGUCGUGUGUGAAAGGCGCGGGCUCAACCCGCGGACGGCACAUGAUACUGCGAGACUAGAGUAAUGGAGGGGGAACCGGAAUUCUCGGUGUAGCAGUGAAAUGCGUAGAUAUCGAGAGGAACACUCGUGGCGAAGGCGGGUUCCUGGACAUUAACUGACGCUGAAGCACGAAGGCCAGGGGAGCGAAAGGGAUUAGAUACCCCUGUAGUC
This 446-nucleotide ribosomal RNA is filed under the name uncultured bacterium. RNAcentral describes it as "partial 16S ribosomal RNA". It matches the Rfam family "Bacterial small subunit ribosomal RNA", at positions 338 to 795 of the family's 1533-position model. The record is from RNAcentral.